GACGAACGCUGGCGGCGUGCCUAAUACAUGCAAGUAGGACGCAGUUGCGAACGGGUGAGUAACGCGUAGGUAACUGCCUAUUAGCGGGGGAUAACUAUUGGAAACGAUAGCUAAUACCGCAUACUAGUAGAUGGACCUGCGUUGUAUUAGCUAGUAGGUAGGGUAAUGGCCUACCUAGGCGACGAUACAUAGCCGAGUUGAGAGGGGGAUCGGCCCCAAUGGGACUGGACCACGGCCCAGACUCCCACGGGAGGCAGCAAUAGGGAAACAUCGGAAAUGGGGGGAACCCUUACCGAGCACAGCCGCUGUAGUGAAGAAGGUUUUUGGAUCGUAAAGCUCUGUUGUUAAGGAAGCGGUACUUAACCAGAAAGGGACGGCUAACUACGUGCCAGCAGCCGCGGUAAUUC
RNAcentral lists this ribosomal RNA (407 nucleotides) under uncultured bacterium. Its description in RNAcentral is "partial 16S ribosomal RNA". It matches the Rfam family "Bacterial small subunit ribosomal RNA", at positions 28 to 526 of the family's 1533-position model. The record is from RNAcentral.